Pimephales promelas (fathead minnow) is the source of this 575-nucleotide non-coding RNA. NCBI's taxonomy places the organism in Eukaryota, Metazoa, Chordata, Actinopteri, Cypriniformes, Leuciscidae. The record is from RefSeq and is a predicted model, not a curated record.
ACUUUCCAAUCGCAAACUUCAUAACCAAAAGGAGUGAUCUCCCUCAAGAAGCGCAACUGAAUAUACGGGAAGCCAAAAGGUUAAAAAGGAAGUCGAUGGAGUUGAUCAGACAGUGAGAUCUUAAUAUUUGGGAUUGUAUCGGUCAGCCUCUAGUCUUGUACUGGCAAUGUGGCUCUUUGGAUACUGUAGAUAUUGCAGCUCUAUCAAGAGUUCUUGAUCUUCUGCCAUUUUAAAUAAAGCUUUAUGCAAGUUUCUGAGUGGUACUGUGGCCCAGCUCACAGAUCGCAGUCCAGUGUGGCAGCUGUAGUCUAUUUAGAGGCUUGGAUCUGUAGUCUUCUACAAAGAUACUGAAACCUUCGAACACAGCUCCUCCACUGUCUUCAUGGAGAGUCAUCCCAUGGCCUCGUUAUUCAUCCUUCUCAUCUGUUCUGCUCUCACGCAUCUGUGGAUUUUUCUGCGGUCAGCUGCUCGCGGUCUGACACGUCGUCAUCUUUGGGUGGCCGUGCCCGAUCGAAGAAGCCACACUGAAGAACCAGAGCAGGUGGGACGGCGGGUGGGAAAUGGAAAAAAAAAAA